GUACCGUCAGCGCCGCGCGUUCCUCAUGGCGUUAGGGCUGACGGGCCUUGUUGCUGAGGGGCCUUCAUUCAACGGUCUCUUGUUGAAUGAAAAGACCUCAUUCUCUUCACAUGCUUGGACGCCUGGGAAGCGCUUUUCUCCCAAUCCAGACCUUCCACCUUUCUCCCACUCUGUUGGCCCAGUGCAGAGUCUAGGAGAAAACUACGUCUGGGACUCGGGAACGAGUCCAGGGAGUUUAGAGCCUGCGAGAUGGGGCAGGGGUUUGGGCGGCGACUGAACGGAAGCCACGAGAAGGAUUCGGACUAAAAUGAGUAGUGCUGAACCAACGUGUGCCAAAGCGCAUAUAUUCAUUCAAUAGAUAAUGAACUCUACUGUCAGAGCGUCGCCAAGCGCUAGCCUUGAAAGCUAUCCCCUACUGAGGAUACAUGUAUUACGCAGCACAUACAAAUUGUCAGAUGGUUCAGUCCUUGAAAAAUAAAUACAAUAACGGGGUGUCACUGGGAGCUGCGACAGUGGGCAAGAUCAGGAAAGACCUGAUGCUAUUAUCAGGAGUAUUAAUUUGGAAAAUAGAGACAUUUCAGUUCUCUAAACGUUAAUGACUUAAGUUUUUAAUAAUUAUUUUCUGAAUUUUUUAUAUCAGCUUGCCUUGGUUUUCUUUAUAGCUUUACCACAUAAUGUAUGUAUCACUAUCUUGUUUCGUUCAAUUUUGAAGCUUUUGGAAUUGCGUAUGUAUUCUCCAGCAAUUUGCUUCUUUCAGCAUUGCUUUUCAUAUUCACCUACAGGUGGCUGUAGUGCUCUUCGCCCAGGCUGGAGUGCAGUGGCGCGAUCUCGGCUCACUGCAAACUCUGCCUCCCGGGUUCAAGUGAUUCUCCUGCCUCAGCCUCCUAAGUAACCGGGAUUACAGGCGCGCGCCACCACGCUCAGCUAAUU
Molecule: long non-coding RNA, 930 nt
Filed under: Homo sapiens (human)
Lineage: Eukaryota; Metazoa; Chordata; Mammalia; Primates; Hominidae
Description: non-protein coding lnc-PLEKHH2-5:1
Source: RNAcentral